GAAGUUUUCCUGUCCCACCACCAAGGAGCCCUUCAGGAGCCCGAAUAGCAAAGGAGACCUCAACAAGUGCAUGAUGUGCCAAAGGCUGCUGGAAAGAGACUCAAACAAAGGGAGUGGUGGAGAGCUGGACAGGAAUGUGAACUCCUUGGGAAAGGAUGACUGUCGGGAGUUUCGGGAUCUGUUCAAGAGAGGGAAACUUUCCUGCACCAGGGAAAAUGACCCUGUCCGAGAUGCCUCUGGGAAGCAACACAGCAAUA
Long non-coding RNA from Neopelma chrysocephalum (saffron-crested tyrant-manakin), 257 nucleotides. RefSeq lists it as uncharacterized. The record is from RefSeq and is a predicted model, not a curated record. NCBI's taxonomy places the organism in Eukaryota, Metazoa, Chordata, Aves, Passeriformes, Pipridae. The transcript has 3 exons.